GGCUGAAGCACUUUAUUCAGUCAAAAUGUUCGAUGGAAUCACAAUAAAAUCUGGUCUAACUGACAACCAAACCGGUCGUCCAAAAACUAAAGUAGUAGUAGCUCUAGCUAACAUAUGUGCUUCAACAUUCAGACUUCGAUUCUCAUGAGUAAUUUGCACCAAUGCAAAACCUGCACACUUCAAAUUGAUCUCCCUGUUGAUGGCUUCAGAUGGUCCUUUGUAUAUUUCCUUGACAUGCUUCACAGUGGAUGCACAGUCUGUUGCAAUGACUAACAUGCCUGGUUAGUUUCUGCAAUAGCUCAUCUCUUAGUUCUGUAAUUUCUUGGAUUUGAUGGCCCUAAAUGUAUGUGUAUUAGGAUUGAAGAUGCAUGAGUCAUCCCUGGAGAAUGGAGAUGAAUGAAGAAGUACUGAGAUAGUGAGAGAUGAAAUUCAAACCUGAUGUCACGAAGUGGUAUACCAAAACAAAGGCUAAUGCUUCGAUUCAGAUUAAUGUAGUUUAGAAGGGAGGAGCUUGGUGGUGGUGGAAUCAGGGAGGAGUACAACUGGUGGUGGCUUUGGACAGUGUCAGUUGUUGUUUUGACGGGUCUGCCUUCAGGUCCUGUACCGGCAAUGUCCUGUGUCAUCAGGAACCCCUCAUCUGCCCAUCGCCAUAGUUGGGUUUGUUUAGCUUUUUGCAUGAUAAUUGUUUUAUUACUUAUACAUGGAGUAUUAGGUUGUGUUUUCUGCAAAGAUGCUGAUAUGAAAGCCUUUUUUUCUGGUACAUGUGGUUCAUUCCGCUUUUCUCUUAAUGAUUAACCGACUAUUGAGGAGUUGCACAUAUCCUUAUAAAACAUAAAUUUUGUAUUACGUUCAUGAUUCAGAUGCUGUUCUACCUUGUUCUAUUAUAUGCAUCGAACAU
Long non-coding RNA from Triticum dicoccoides, 898 nucleotides. RefSeq lists it as uncharacterized. The record is from RefSeq and is a predicted model, not a curated record. The transcript is spliced from 3 exons. NCBI's taxonomy places the organism in Eukaryota, Viridiplantae, Streptophyta, Magnoliopsida, Poales, Poaceae.